This is a long non-coding RNA of Monopterus albus (swamp eel), 2372 nucleotides long. RefSeq lists it as uncharacterized. Lineage: Eukaryota; Metazoa; Chordata; Actinopteri; Synbranchiformes; Synbranchidae. The transcript has 3 exons. The record is from RefSeq and is a predicted model, not a curated record.
CCGUGACCCUCUGCGGACCAGGAGAACAAUAACAGUAUAGAAAAAAAUAAAAGAUGCAUUAUUCAGUAGUAAAAAAAAUAAUAAAGCAUGUCUAUAUAAAAAACAGUAUUCAAAGAAGCAAACAGCAAAGUAACAGUAGAGAAAAGAAUACUCGAACUGCAAAUGUGAAAAACACAUCUAGCAGCUGGAGUUGAACGCCUGCUGCAGAGCUCUCACUCACUUGCAGCCUGUUAAUUAAUGUGUCGGGGAGCUUGGAGCCGGCUGGCUAAAGCUGCCCUACUUUACCGUUUGUCUGUCCCUGGUGUGCUUGGUCUGGGACUUCAGGAUCCACUGGUGUGAGAACUGUCCAGGUCACGUGAUUUAAACAAUGUGUGUGUUACAGGAGCCGCAGCCUGCGGACGCCGGCCAACUUGUUUGUCAUUAACCUGGUGAUCACAGAUCUGCUGAUGGGUGUCUGGGUGACACACACCUUCUUCGCCACCAGCAUGCACAAGAGCUGGAUCUUUGGAGGGAAAGGUACCGACUGCACACACAUCCCACGAACACACAGGGUGUCCCAGCCUCAGCUCCUGAAUCUGGAUCCAACAUACCUGUAAACGCUAGUCUCGUCUGCUCUGUUAUUAUUGUGUGGUAACACAGCCGGGGGCAGAGAUGCCAACAUGGCAGGCGGUGAUCUGCAGGAUGUCUUGGCUGAGAAACUCAUGUACCUCACAUGUUGCAAGUCUGCAGCUUUGUUUGUUGUCUCACAGCAGCCAGUUUUCCCUGAGGCCUACAAAUGCGAACAUUUUGUGUCACCACAUCUGGAAUAUGACUUGGAUCCAGAUCAGACUUUGGAGUCUGGUAUAUUUCAUCCAGAUCCAUUUGUUAUUUUUUGAGUUAUUCUGUGAACAAACCAACAAGCAGCAGUGAAAACACAGCCUCCUCAGCCUCCUGCGUUCAUCCCUGUGAACUGUCGGCGAGGAAGAGGGAGACAGACAUCUUCACCGUGAACACACAACAUGUGGGUGUCAGCUACACGUCGAUGCUGUUAAGUGAGAAUCAAGAUCUCGUGCCAAAAUUACUGCGAAAUAUUGCAGGCGUCCUGGUUUAAAGAAGAAACUGGGAGAGGAUAAAGAGAAAGAAAGAAAAGUAUCUUGGUAGUGGGAAGUAUGCUCAGGUACUACUGUAUAGUACUGUUUUGAGAUACUUGUAUGUCGUGUUGUCAGUCCAACCACCAGGUGAUUGCCCCGCCCACUUUCUCAUCUCAUCUGUUUACUUCCUCGUACAUGAACCGGCCGUCCUCCACCUGCAGCUUUUUUUGGGAUGUGUCGCAGCAUCAGGAUUGAUUAUUCUUUUGAACAAAGAAUAAACCUGAUCGGUCUCACAUCAAAUAAUGAGCUGCUGUAUUGUUUUCGGUGUCAUACAGGACACAGAUGAUUUACACAUCACUAUUUUCACUUUUAGUUUUGACCUUACAUACCGUCCCUUCUUCUGAUUUGGGGUUGUAGGUUGUAGGUGGUGAUGGUUUACCUCUGACUGAAACAGGAAACAAACAGCCAGGUGUCUACUUAUAUGGGAGCACAUUCUCUUAGCUUCUUCGCUGUUGGUCAGACAAAACAAGGACCUGUCCUGGCCUGCAGAACACAGUGAUGGGCAGUUUUCAUGGUUUCUGAUGUUUCAGUGACUAAACAAUUAAUUGAGAAAACAAUUGACAUGACAAUUACUGACAAUAAUCUUUAGUUGCAGCCCUAAAAUGUGCUUCACCCUGAUGACCUGCAGAAUUUGAAAAGCUACUUACAUAUUAAUAGAUCAGUAUUAAUUAUGCAUUAAUAUAUGUCACAAGAGCCAUUUUCUACAUUAUGUUCUUUUCCUUUUGAUACUUUAAGUACAUUUUACUAAUAGCACUGCAGAUUCUCUUGAUGUUGGUAUUUUAUUUUCUGACUUUUACUUGUGUAGGGUAUUUUUAGAUUGCAGUAUUACUGUUACCUAAAUAAGGGUUGUGAUUACUCCCGCCACCACUCAGAGAGACAGAGGGAGCUGUAGCUCUGGACAGGGGAGGAAACGUUCCCAUAAAUUGCUGUUUUCAUGUGGGAUUCAACAUGUCAGCGGCAGGAUUACCUCACUUCCUGCUGCCCAGUGAUAACACAGCGGCUGCAGCCCUGGAGAGCAAGCCAGGAAGGGCUUCUAGUUCAGAGAUUCACAUCUGAAAUUCAACAUGACAUAAAAACUACGGCCCGGAUCACCGACCAGGUCCUCCAGAUUUCAGCACUGAUGACUCUGUGGCUGUAAACUGACAAAGAUGGUAUCAAGUCCCAAGUCUGCUGAAGUACAGGUUCAUGUUGGUUCAUUGAGCAUCUUUCAAACUUUCCCCACAUGCAUGAUGAUUUUCUUGG